CCUACGGGAGGCAGCAGUGAGGAAUAUUGGUCAAUGGACGAGAGUCUGAACCAGCCAAGUAGCGUGAAGGAUGACUGCCCUAUGGGUUGUAAACUUCUUUUAUAAAGGAAUAAAACGAGGCACGUGUGCCUUUUUGCAUGUACUUUAUGAAGAAGGAUCGGCUAACUCCGUGCCAGCAGCUGCGGUAAUACGGAGGAUCCGAGCGUUAUCCGGAUUUAGUGGGUUUAAAGGGUGCGUAGAUGGGUUGUUAAGUCAGUGGUGAAAGUUUGCGGCUCAACCGUAAAAUUGCAAUUGAUACUGGCAGUCUUGAGUACAGGUGAGGUAGGCGGAAUUCGUGGUGUAGCGGUGAAAUGCUUAGAUAUCACGAAGAACCCCGAUUGCGAAGGCAGCUUACUAAACUGUGACUGACACUGAGGCACGAAAGUGUGGGUAUCAAACAGGAUUAGAUACCCCUGUAGUC
RNAcentral lists this ribosomal RNA (460 nucleotides) under uncultured bacterium. RNAcentral's name for it is "partial 16S ribosomal RNA". It matches the Rfam family "Bacterial small subunit ribosomal RNA", at positions 338 to 795 of the family's 1533-position model. The record is from RNAcentral.